Molecule: ribosomal RNA, 1380 nt
Filed under: Curtobacterium citreum
Lineage: Bacteria; Bacillati; Actinomycetota; Actinomycetes; Micrococcales; Microbacteriaceae
Description: 16S ribosomal RNA
Rfam family: Bacterial small subunit ribosomal RNA
Source: RNAcentral
GAGUUUGAUCCAUGGCUCAGGACGAACGCUGGCGGCGUGCUUAACACAUGCAAGUCGAACGAUGAUGCCCAGCUUGCUGGGUGGAUUAGUGGCGAACGGGUGAGUAACACGUGAGUAACCUGCCCCUGACUCUGGGAUAAGCGUUGGAAACGACGUCUAAUACUGGAUAUGACUGCCGGCCGCAUGGUCUGGUGGUGGAAAGAUUUUUUGGUUGGGGAUGGACUCGCGGCCUAUCAGCUUGUUGGUGAGGUAAUGGCUCACCAAGGCGACGACGGGUAGCCGGCCUGAGAGGGUGACCGGCCACACUGGGACUGAGACACGGCCCAGACUCCUACGGGAGGCAGCAGUGGGGAAUAUUGCACAAUGGGCGAAAGCCUGAUGCAGCAACGCCGCGUGAGGGAUGACGGCCUUCGGGUUGUAAACCUCUUUUAGUAGGGAAGAAGCGUAAGUGACGGUACCUGCAGAAAAAGCACCGGCUAACUACGUGCCAGCAGCCGCGGUAAUACGUAGGGUGCAAGCGUUGUCCGGAAUUAUUGGGCGUAAAGAGCUCGUAGGCGGUUUGUCGCGUCUGCUGUGAAAUCCCGAGGCUCAACCUCGGGCUUGCAGUGGGUACGGGCAGACUAGAGUGCGGUAGGGGAGAUUGGAAUUCCUGGUGUAGCGGUGGAAUGCGCAGAUAUCAGGAGGAACACCGAUGGCGAAGGCAGAUCUCUGGGCCGUAACUGACGCUGAGGAGCGAAAGCGUGGGGAGCGAACAGGAUUAGAUACCCUGGUAGUCCACGCCGUAAACGUUGGGCGCUAGAUGUAGGGACCUUUCCACGGUUUCUGUGUCGUAGCUAACGCAUUAAGCGCCCCGCCUGGGGAGUACGGCCGCAAGGCUAAAACUCAAAGGAAUUGACGGGGGCCCGCACAAGCGGCGGAGCAUGCGGAUUAAUUCGAUGCAACGCGAAGAACCUUACCAAGGCUUGACAUACACCGGAAACGGCCAGAGAUGGUUGCCCCCUUGUGGUCGGUGUACAGGUGGUGCAUGGUUGUCGUCAGCUCGUGUCGUGAGAUGUUGGGUUAAGUCCCGCAACGAGCGCAACCCUCGUUCUAUGUUGCCAGCGCGUUAUGGCGGGGACUCAUAGGAGACUGCCGGGGUCAACUCGGAGGAAGGUGGGGAUGACGUCAAAUCAUCAUGCCCCUUAUGUCUUGGGCUUCACGCAUGCUACAAUGGCCGGUACAAAGGGCUGCGAUACCGUAAGGUGGAGCGAAUCCCAAAAAGCCGGUCUCAGUUCGGAUUGAGGUCUGCAACUCGACCUCAUGAAGUCGGAGUCGCUAGUAAUCGCAGAUCAGCAACGCUGCGGUGAAUACGUUCCCGGGCCUUGUACACACCGCCCGUCA